This 520-nucleotide ribosomal RNA is filed under the name uncultured bacterium. RNAcentral describes it as "bacterial SSU rRNA". It matches the Rfam family "Bacterial small subunit ribosomal RNA", at positions 777 to 1296 of the family's 1533-position model. The record is from RNAcentral.
AAUAGAUACCCGGUAGUCCAUGCCGUAAACGUUGGGCGCUAGAUGUGGGGACCAUUCCACGGUUUCCGUGUCGCAGCUAACGCAUUAAGCGCCCCGCCUGGGGAGUACGGCCGCAAGGCUAAAACUCAAAGGAAUUGACGGAGGCCCGCACAAGCGGCGGAGCAUGCGGAUUAAUUCGAUGCAACGCGAAGAACCUUACCAAGGCUUGACAUAUACGAGAACGCUCUAGAAAUAGAGAACUCUUUGGACACUCGUAUACAGGUGGUGCAUGGUUGUCGUCAGCUCGUGUCGUGAGAUGUUGGGUUAAGUCCCGCAACGAGCGCAACCCUCGUUCUAUGUUGCCAGCACGUCAUGGUGGGAACUCAUAGGAGGACUGCCGGGGUCAACUCGGAGGAAGGUGGGGAUGACGUCAAAUCAUCAUGCCCCUUAUGUCUUGGGCUUCACGCAUGCUACAAUGGCCGGUACAAUGGGCUGCGAUACCGUAAGGUGGAGCGAAUCCCAAAAGCCGGUCUCAGUUCGG